RNAcentral lists this ribosomal RNA (253 nucleotides) under uncultured bacterium. Its description in RNAcentral is "partial 16S ribosomal RNA". It matches the Rfam family "Bacterial small subunit ribosomal RNA", at positions 524 to 776 of the family's 1533-position model. The record is from RNAcentral.
UACGAAGGGGGCUAGCGUUGCUCGGAAUCACUGGGCGUAAAGCGCACGUAGGCGGGUCGUUAAGUCGGGGGUGAAAUCCUGGAGCUCAACUCCAGAACUGCCUUCGAUACUGGCGAUCUUGAGUCUGGGAGAGGUGAGUGGAACUCCGAGUGUAGAGGUGAAAUUCGUAGAUAUUCGGCGGAACACCAGUGGCGAAGGCGACUCACUGGCCCGAUACUGACACUGAGGAGCGAAAGCCAGGGGAGCAAACGGG